RNAcentral lists this ribosomal RNA (301 nucleotides) under uncultured bacterium. RNAcentral's name for it is "partial 16S ribosomal RNA". It matches the Rfam family "Bacterial small subunit ribosomal RNA", at positions 509 to 809 of the family's 1533-position model. The record is from RNAcentral.
CAGUAGCCGCGGUAAAACGGAGGGUGCAAGCGUUAAUCGGAAUUACUGGGCGUAAAGCGCACGCAGGCGGUCUGUCAAGUCAGAUGUGAAAUCCCCGGGCUUAACCUGGGAACUGCAUUUGAAACUGGCAGGCUAGAGUCUUGUAGAGGGGGGUAGAAUUCCAGGUGUAGCGGUGAAAUGCGUAGAGAUCUGGAGGAAUACCGGUGGCGAAGGCGGCCCCCUGGACAAAGACUGACGCUCAGGUGCGAAAGCGUGGGGAGCAAACAGGAUUAGAUACCCCUGUAGUCCCUGUCUCUUAUAA